This 72-nucleotide transfer RNA is filed under the name Candidatus Microgenomates bacterium. Its description in RNAcentral is "tRNA-Trp". It matches the Rfam family "tRNA". Rfam says of the family: Transfer RNA (tRNA) molecules are approximately 80 nucleotides in length. The record is from RNAcentral. Lineage: Bacteria; Candidatus Microgenomatota.
AGGGACGUGGUGAAACGGCUAUCACAGCAGUCUCCAAAACUGCUUUUCCCCGUUCGAAUCGGGGCGUCCCUG